Molecule: ribosomal RNA, 250 nt
Filed under: uncultured bacterium
Lineage: Bacteria
Description: partial 16S ribosomal RNA
Rfam family: Bacterial small subunit ribosomal RNA
Source: RNAcentral
UACGUAGGGGGCAAGCGUUGUCCGGAUUUAUUGGGCGUAAAGAGCGUGUAGGCGGUUCGGUAGGUCCGUUGUGAAAACUCGAGGCUCAACCUCGAGACGUCCGGUGGAAACCUAUAGCAGAGUCCGGAAGAGGAGAGUGGAAUUCCUGGUGUAGCGGUGAAAUGCGCAGAUAUCAGGAAGAACACCCGUGGCGAAGGCGGCUCUCUGGACGGUACUGACGCUGAGACGCGAAAGCGUGGGGAGCAACAGG